GUGGGGAAUCUUGCGCAAUGGGCGAAAGCCUGACGCAGCCAUGUCGCGUGAAUGAUGAAGGUCUUAGGAUUGUAAAAUUCUUUCACCGGGGACGAUAAUGACGGUACCCGGAGAAGAAGCUCCGGCUAACUUCGUGCCAGCAGCCGCGGUAAUACGAAGGGGGCUAGCGUUGCUCGGAAUUACUGGGCGUAAAGGGCGCGUAGGCGGACAGCUUAGUCAGAGGUGAAAGCCCAGGGCUCAACCUUGGAAUUGCCUUUGAUACUGGCUGUCUUGAGUUUGGGAGAGGUGAGUGGAACUCCGAGUGUAGAGGUGAAAUUCGUAGAUAUUCGGAAGAACACCAGUGGCGAAGGCGACUCACUGGCCCAAUACUGACGCUGAGGCGCGAAAGCGUGGGGAGCAAACAGGAUUAGAUACCCCUGUAGUCC
RNAcentral lists this ribosomal RNA (425 nucleotides) under uncultured bacterium. RNAcentral describes it as "partial 16S ribosomal RNA". It matches the Rfam family "Bacterial small subunit ribosomal RNA", at positions 354 to 796 of the family's 1533-position model. The record is from RNAcentral.